Small nucleolar RNA from Urocitellus parryii (Arctic ground squirrel), 107 nucleotides. RefSeq annotates it as small nucleolar RNA U13. The record is from RefSeq and is a predicted model, not a curated record. NCBI's taxonomy places the organism in Eukaryota, Metazoa, Chordata, Mammalia, Rodentia, Sciuridae.
AUUCUCUGGGGGCUCAUAAGCAUGAUGAUGGGGUGUUCACACUUACUGUGUGAAAGUGCUUCCUCUGAACUUCAUUAUGGUAAUGUUGGCACAUAACCCAGCUGAUG